UAGAGAUAAUUGACUCUAUUCACGUUUUUUCCAAUUUUUUCUUCCAUUUCCCUGUUCUAUAAAUUAACAAACACCAUUUAUAAUCAUCAAUUAAUAUCAUCUAUUAUCAAAUUAUCAUAACAACACAUGUUAAUCAUAGAAAACAUGCAUGAAGACACAUACACACUUUAUGUUUCUGUUAAAACCGCAAGCAUAAUUCAUUUCCAUUAAAUAUUUACCAAUUAAUGGUAAUAAAAACCUCAAUACUUGUGUUAAUUAAAUUACCAUCCUUUUUACCUCAAGGCACGUAAUGCCUCUCGCGUGUCUGCGGCUGGCAUGUUCGCGGGUUGACAUGAAGUCUCCUUGCAUGUUCACGGGCUAUCACAUAGGACACCUCAUGUGUUCGCGAGCUAAGGAAUUUCUCAAAAUCUUGC
Molecule: long non-coding RNA, 413 nt
Filed under: Carica papaya (papaya)
Lineage: Eukaryota; Viridiplantae; Streptophyta; Magnoliopsida; Brassicales; Caricaceae
Description: long non-coding RNA (CPAP_LNC005598)
Source: RNAcentral